Molecule: ribosomal RNA, 274 nt
Filed under: uncultured Geobacillus sp.
Lineage: Bacteria; Bacillati; Bacillota; Bacilli; Caryophanales; Anoxybacillaceae
Description: partial 16S ribosomal RNA
Rfam family: Bacterial small subunit ribosomal RNA
Source: RNAcentral
UCGCCUCUAGUUGCCAGCAUCGUUGGGCACUCUAGAGGGACUGCCGGCGACAAGUCGGAGGAAGGUGGGGAUGACGUCAAAUCAUCAUGCCCCUUAUGACCUGGGCUACACACGUGCUACAAUGGGCGGUACAAAGGGCUGCGAACCCGCGAGGGGGAGCGAAUCCCAAAAAGCCGCUCUCAGUUCGGAUUGCAGGCUGCAACUCGCCUGCAUGAAGCCGGAAUCGCUAGUAAUCGCGGAUCAGCACGCCGCGGUGAAUACGUUCCCGGGCCUU